CCUACGGGGGGUUGCAGUGAGGAAUAUUGGUCAAUGGGCGGGAGCCUGAACCAGCCAAGUCGCGUGAAGGAAGAAGGUACUUAGUAUUUUAAACUUCUUUUGUCGGGGAACAAAGGCGGAGACGCGUCUCCGGAUGAGUGUACCCGAAGAAAAAGCACCGGCUAACUCCGUGCCAGCAGCCGCGGUAAUACGGAGGAUGCGGGCGUUAUCCGGAUUUAUUGGGUGAAAAGGGUGCGCAGGCGGGAUAUCAAGUCAGCGGGAAAAUGUCGGGGCUCACCCCCGGCCGGCCGUUGAAACUGGUUGUCUAGAGUGGGAGAGAAGUAUGCGGAAUUCGUGGUGUAGCGGUGAAAUGCAUAGAUAUCACGAAGAACUCCGAUUGCGAAGGCAGCAUACCGGCUCCAUACUGACGCUGAGGCACGAAAGCGUGGGGAUCGAACAGGAUUAGAUACCCCUGUAGUC
RNAcentral lists this ribosomal RNA (459 nucleotides) under uncultured bacterium. Its description in RNAcentral is "partial 16S ribosomal RNA". It matches the Rfam family "Bacterial small subunit ribosomal RNA", at positions 338 to 795 of the family's 1533-position model. The record is from RNAcentral.